AAGUCGUAACAAGGUUUCCGUAGGUGAACCUGCGGAAGGAUCAUUAACACGUAUCCAAACGUUAAACCCCCCUGUGAACCUUCAGUCGUACUCGUACGUCCGUUAGAAAAAGCAGCAAUCCCUGGUAAAUCAUCGCCGAACAGUUUUCGAUUCAGGGACGUCUGCAAGGAGCGUGCAUGUUGUGCGUGUAAGUGGCCUGGCAUCCCCAAGCAGUUAGUGUCUGAAAGUGUCACUAACGUUAGCGAUCGUUGGAGGCCCACACGGCCGACGACCGGGUCACUGGGUGCAAGCCCCCUUAUCACACCCCUGCUCUAUCUAUGGUGAUCCUGCGGGAAGUCCUGCGGUCGAACGCCGAAACCGAACAACUGUUAACAAUGGAUAUCUUGGUUCUC
RNAcentral lists this unclassified non-coding RNA (392 nucleotides) under fungal sp. RNAcentral describes it as "partial internal transcribed spacer region". The stretch from base 1 to 46 matches the Rfam family "Eukaryotic small subunit ribosomal RNA", at positions 1786 to 1831 of the family's 1831-position model. Lineage: Eukaryota; Fungi. The record is from RNAcentral.